CCACGCGCGGCGGGAGAGUCCGGAACCGCCCGCGGAGGACGGGACCGGCGCCGAAGGAGCAACUCCUCCCCGGGAAUCUCUCAGGCCCCAGAACCGCCGCGAGCAG
Molecule: non-coding RNA, 106 nt
Filed under: Kocuria flava
Lineage: Bacteria; Bacillati; Actinomycetota; Actinomycetes; Micrococcales; Micrococcaceae
Description: Glycine sequence
Rfam family: Glycine riboswitch aptamer
About the family: This family represents the bacterial glycine riboswitch.
Source: Rfam by way of RNAcentral